GGGGAGGCAGCAGUAGGGAAUCUUCGGCAAUGGGCGAAAGCCUGACCGAGCAACGCCGCGUGAGCGAUGAAGGCCUUCGGGUCGUAAAGCUCUGUUGUUAGAGAAGAACAAGUACGAGAGUAACUGCUCGUACCUUGACGGUACCUAACCAGAAAGCCACGGCUAACUACGUGCCAGCAGCCGCGGUAAUACGUAGGUGGCAAGCGUUAUCCGGAAUUAUUGGGCGUAAAGCGCGCGCAGGCGGUCUCUUAAGUCUGAUGUGAAAGCCCACGGCUCAACCGUGGAGGGUCAUUGGAAACUGGGAGACUUGAGUGCAGGAGAGAAAAGUGGAAUUCCACGUGUAGCGGUGAAAUGCGUAGAGAUGUGGAGGAACACCAGUGGCGAAGGCGGCUUUUUGGCCUGUAACUGACGCUGAGGCGCGAAAGCGUGGGGAGCAAACAGGAUUAGAUACCCUGGUAGUCCACGCCGUAAACGAUGAGUGCUAGGUGUUGGGGGGUUCCACCCUCAGUGCUGAAGUUAACACAUUAAGCACUCCGCCUGGGGAGUACGACCGCAAGGUUGAAACUCAAAGAAAUUUUGACGGAG
Molecule: ribosomal RNA, 585 nt
Filed under: uncultured bacterium
Lineage: Bacteria
Description: bacterial SSU rRNA
Rfam family: Bacterial small subunit ribosomal RNA
Source: RNAcentral